This 78-nucleotide transfer RNA is filed under the name Salmonella enterica. Its description in RNAcentral is "tRNA-Phe". It matches the Rfam family "tRNA". From Rfam's summary of the family: Transfer RNA (tRNA) molecules are approximately 80 nucleotides in length. Their secondary structure includes four short double-helical elements and three loops (D, anti-codon, and T loops). The record is from RNAcentral. Lineage: Bacteria; Pseudomonadati; Pseudomonadota; Gammaproteobacteria; Enterobacterales; Enterobacteriaceae.
GCACCUGUAGCUCAGUUCGGUUAGAGCGCCGGUUUGAAAGUCCGGAGGUCGUUCGUUCAAAUCGAACCGGGUGCACCA